Molecule: long non-coding RNA, 478 nt
Filed under: Helianthus annuus (common sunflower)
Lineage: Eukaryota; Viridiplantae; Streptophyta; Magnoliopsida; Asterales; Asteraceae
Source: RNAcentral
AUGAUUACAAUUCUGCCCAAAGUAAUAGACAUAUCACAACUUCUUCAAAUAAUGAUCCUCACAUUAAUGAUCCUUCGCUAAUCCUAUGAUCAAAUUUUUUGUGUACUAAUAUGAGUGGUGUUGAGUGGAUAAUUACUUGUAUGAGUAGCUUUUUCACUUUGUUUGGUUCAGAAUGCAGUAGAAAUAAUGGUGGGAGCGGAAAGGAACCAACCUGAUAAAGAUAACAUAUAACAAAAUGAGUCCAAGCUUGAGUUUCUUUUGAUGGAGAAAAAGAUGCAGAAAAAGAUGCCUCUAGAAGUGUUGGGGUGCAAAUUAAAGGUAAGAUUUGACGAUAUUUUUGCUAAAUUGGUAUGCUUAAGUUGCUAUAGAUAUUAAUGAUGUGCUACACAUGUUAGAUGCAGGUAGAGUUGUUCAUGAGCUCAGCCGAACUGCCGAACGGACCUUUGCUCAUGCUUGGCUCGUUUACAAACCGAACCGA